Molecule: transfer RNA, 71 nt
Filed under: Marmota monax (woodchuck)
Lineage: Eukaryota; Metazoa; Chordata; Mammalia; Rodentia; Sciuridae
Description: tRNA.Val
Rfam family: tRNA
About the family: Transfer RNA (tRNA) molecules are approximately 80 nucleotides in length. Their secondary structure includes four short double-helical elements and three loops (D, anti-codon, and T loops).
Source: RNAcentral
GGGGUUGUGGCUCAAUGGUAGAGUGCUUGCCUCACAUGUAUGAGGCACUGGGUUCAAUUCUCAGUACCACA